UACGUAGGGGGCAAGCGUUGUCCGGAUUUAUUGGGCGUAAAGAGCGUGUAGGCGGCCAUACAGGUCCGUUGUGAAAACUGGAGGCUCAACCUCGAGACGUCGGUGGAAACCGUUUGGCUAGAGUCCGGAAGAGGAGAGUGGAAUUCCCGGUGUAGCGGUGAAAUGCGCAGAUAUCGGGAAGAACACCCGUGGCGAAGGCGGCUCUCUGGGACGGUACUGACGCUGAGACGCGAAAGCGUGGGGAGCGAACAGG
RNAcentral lists this ribosomal RNA (253 nucleotides) under uncultured bacterium. Its description in RNAcentral is "partial 16S ribosomal RNA". It matches the Rfam family "Bacterial small subunit ribosomal RNA", at positions 524 to 776 of the family's 1533-position model. The record is from RNAcentral.